This 63-nucleotide transfer RNA is filed under the name Anindobothrium anacolum. Its description in RNAcentral is "tRNA-Pro". The record is from RNAcentral. Lineage: Eukaryota; Metazoa; Platyhelminthes; Cestoda; Phyllobothriidea; Phyllobothriidae.
CUUACUUUAGUUUAAUCAGAAUAAUGGUUUUGGGGAUCAUUGGUCUCAGUUUGAGAAGUUUGG